AAACUAAAUCGGCAAAACUAGAGAAAUUUAGUGACGCAAAGCUAUAGGGACUAACGCUUAUAAAAUAAGUUAUGUCAGCCAGUUGCCAAA
This is a regulatory RNA element of 90 nucleotides. It matches the Rfam family "c-di-GMP-I riboswitch aptamer". From Rfam's summary of the family: GEMM was predicted in a large-scale screen for bacterial structured RNA regulatory elements. The record is from Rfam.